UACAGAGGUCCCGAGCGUUGUUCGGAUUCACUGGGCGUAAAGGGUGCGUAGGCGGUCGGGUAAGUCUGAUGUGAAAUCUCACAGCUUAACUGUGAAACUGCAUUGGAUACUAUUCGGCUUGAGAGUUGGAGGGGGGACUGGAAUUCUCGGUGUAGCAGUGAAAUGCGUAGAUAUCUGGAAGAACACCAAAGGCGAAGGCAGCAUUCUGGCGCGUACCUGACGCUCAUGUGCGAAAGCUAGGGGAGCGAACGGG
Molecule: ribosomal RNA, 253 nt
Filed under: uncultured bacterium
Lineage: Bacteria
Description: partial 16S ribosomal RNA
Rfam family: Bacterial small subunit ribosomal RNA
Source: RNAcentral